Molecule: long non-coding RNA, 944 nt
Filed under: Aquilegia coerulea
Lineage: Eukaryota; Viridiplantae; Streptophyta; Magnoliopsida; Ranunculales; Ranunculaceae
Description: long non-coding RNA (ACOE_LNC001827)
Source: RNAcentral
UUCUUCUAACUGGUUGAAUAUCCUCCCCCAGUUGAGAUCAUUGAAGAUAUACUCUCAAGACUAUCUGUCAAGUCAAUUUUAUGAUUAAAGUGUUUAUCUAAAGCAUGGUAUGAAUUCGUUAGCAGUCGUAACUUCGGAAACAUAUCAUGUUAUUGGUUGGAAGUUCCAAAGUUUAUCAUGUAUUUUUUUAUGUGUUCACUGGUUGUUUGAACUUUGAAGCAUGCUUUUCUAUACAAACUCUUUUUUGGCAACAACCAUAAAAGCAAACAACAAGGAAAAACCAAAGACAGAAAAAGUUUGAAAAUGUGAAGAAUAUAAACUAGGGAUGUAAAAAAAACCCGUGGAGGCGAGUCCCCGCGGAGAACCGACCCGAAUGGGGCGGAUAUGGAGGGGUAUAUAUGGGGAUCAGGUGGGUAUGGAGGUCAUUUUGAAACCCGAUUAAGUUUUGGAGCGGGGACGGAUAUUAUGGUCUCCAAACCCGGACCCGACCUGAUUAUAUACUUAAAUUUAAAAAUUAACUAAUAUAGACUAUAAUUUGACAAUGUAAUUUUCUAUUUUUUUUUUUGUUAGACUUUGUGGCCGCGUGUUCAAGAUUUCAAGCUUGUAUUUUGUUUGGAUUAAAUUUAGUUGAAGGUUUUAACUUGAAAUUGUAAUUUAAGAUAUUAUUAUGAUAAUUUAAAUUUAUGAAUAGUUAUUAUUAUUAUUAUUUGAUUAUCUAAAACUAUAAAUGGAGCCCCGCGGAGAACUGAUCCCCAUUGGAGGUGGGGAUGGGGAUCCCCGAAUAGUCUUAAACGGGGAAAUGGACGGGGAUGGAGACUAAAAAACUAAAUGGGGAUGGGGACGGAGAUAGGGGUACCCGGCCCCGAACCAACCCGUGAACAUCCCUAAUAUAAACCCAUUAGGGGAAUUGAGCACAAACCACAGGUACUAUUUGUCAACAUAUU